Molecule: ribosomal RNA, 730 nt
Filed under: uncultured bacterium
Lineage: Bacteria
Description: bacterial SSU rRNA
Rfam family: Bacterial small subunit ribosomal RNA
Source: RNAcentral
AACAGGAUUAGAUACCCUGGUAGUCCACGCUGUAAACGAUGUCGACUUGGAGGUUGUUCCCUUGAGGAGUGGCUUCCGGAGCUAACGCGUUAAGUCGACCGCCUGGGGAGUACGGCCGCAAGGUUAAAACUCAAAUGAAUUGACGGGGGCCCGCACAAGCGGUGGAGCAUGUGGUUUAAUUCGAUGCAACGCGAAGAACCUUACCUACUCUUGACAUCCAGAGAACUUAGCAGAGAUGCUUUGGUGCCUUCGGGAACUCUGAGACAGGUGCUGCAUGGCUGUCGUCAGCUCGUGCUGUGAAAUGUUGGGUUAAGUCCCGCAACGAGCGCAACCCUUAUCCUUUGUUGCCAGCGGUCCGGCCGGGAACUCAAAGGAGACUGCCAGUGAUAAACUGGAGGAAGGUGGGGAUGACGUCAAGUCAUCAUGGCCCUUACGAGUAGGGCUACACACGUGCUACAAUGGCAUAUACAAAGAGAAGCGACCUCGCGAGAGCAAGCGGACCUCAUAAAGUAUGUCGUAGUCCGGAUUGGAGUCUGCAACUCGACUCCAUGAAGUCGGAAUCGCUAGUAAUCGUGGAUCAGAAUGCCACGGUGAAUACGUUCCCGGGCCUUGUACACACCGCCCGUCACACCAUGGGAGUGGGUUGCAAAAGAAGUAGGUAGCUUAACCUUCGGGAGGGCGCUUACCACUUUGUGAUUCAUGACUGGGGUGAAGUCGUAACAAGGUAACC